AAGCAUCUAAGCGGGAAGCCCCCUUCAAGAUGAGACAUCCCCGAGACCUAGAGUCUCCUAAAGGGCCCAGCGAGACCAGCUGGUGGAUAGGCACGGUGUGGAAGCGCUGCAAGGCGUUGAGCUAACGUGUACUAAUGGCCCGUGAGGCUUGACCCUAUAACACCCAAGGGGU
RNAcentral lists this ribosomal RNA (172 nucleotides) under Halomonas sp. SUBG004. RNAcentral's name for it is "partial 23S ribosomal RNA". It matches the Rfam family "Bacterial large subunit ribosomal RNA", at positions 2775 to 2925 of the family's 2925-position model. Lineage: Bacteria; Pseudomonadati; Pseudomonadota; Gammaproteobacteria; Oceanospirillales; Halomonadaceae. The record is from RNAcentral.